This 471-nucleotide ribosomal RNA is filed under the name uncultured bacterium. Its description in RNAcentral is "bacterial SSU rRNA". It matches the Rfam family "Bacterial small subunit ribosomal RNA", at positions 355 to 825 of the family's 1533-position model. The record is from RNAcentral.
UGGGGAAUAUUGGACAAUGGGGGCAACCCUGAUCCAGCAAUGCCGCGUGUGUGAAGAAGGCCUGCGGGUUGUAAAGCACUUUUGGCAGGGAUGAAAAGCACUGGAUUAAUAACCCAGUGUGUUGACCUAACCUGCAGAAGAAGCACCGGCUAACUCUGUGCCAGCAGCCGCGGUAAUACAGGGGGUGCGAGCGUUAAUCGGAAUUACUGGGCGUAAAGGGCGCGUAGGUGGAUAGUUAAGUUCGGGGUGAAAUCCCAGGGCUCAACCCUGGAACUGCCUCGGAUACUGGCUAUCUCGAGUCCGGAAGAGGUGAGUGGAAUUCCUAGUGUAGAGGUGAAAUGCGUAGAGAUCCGGAGGAACACCAGUGGCGAAGGCGACACGCUGGGCCGUACUGACGCUGAGGUGCGAAAGCGUGGGGAGCAAACAGGAUUAGAUACCCCUGUAGUCCCUGAGCGGGCUGGCAAGGCGCAU